GCCGGUGUAGCUCAGUAGGCAGAGCAGCGCAUUCGUAAUGCGCAGGUCAGCGGUUCGAAUCCGCUCACCGGCACCA
Molecule: transfer RNA, 76 nt
Filed under: Halomonas urumqiensis
Lineage: Bacteria; Pseudomonadati; Pseudomonadota; Gammaproteobacteria; Oceanospirillales; Halomonadaceae
Description: tRNA-Thr
Rfam family: tRNA
About the family: Transfer RNA (tRNA) molecules are approximately 80 nucleotides in length. Their secondary structure includes four short double-helical elements and three loops (D, anti-codon, and T loops). Further hydrogen bonds mediate the characteristic L-shaped molecular structure. tRNAs have two regions of fundamental functional importance: the anti-codon, which is responsible for specific mRNA codon recognition, and the 3' end, to which the tRNAs corresponding amino acid is attached (by aminoacyl-tRNA synthetases). tRNAs cope with the degeneracy of the genetic code in two manners: having more than one tRNA (with a specific anti-codon) for a particular amino acid; and 'wobble' base-pairing, i.e. permitting non-standard base-pairing at the 3rd anti-codon position.
Source: RNAcentral